AAAAAAGGGGAGCUCGUGUCCGGGCUGAGAGGAAGUAAUGAACUUCGACCCUGAAACCUGAUUUGGGUAAUGCCAACGUAGGGACGCAGA
Molecule: non-coding RNA, 90 nt
Filed under: human gut metagenome
Description: TPP riboswitch (THI element)
Rfam family: TPP riboswitch aptamer (THI element) (bases 6-84)
About the family: Vitamin B(1) in its active form thiamin pyrophosphate (TPP) is an essential coenzyme that is synthesised by coupling of pyrimidine and thiazole moieties in bacteria. The previously detected thiamin-regulatory element, thi box was extended, resulting in a new, highly conserved RNA secondary structure, the THI element, which is widely distributed in eubacteria and also occurs in some archaea.
Source: RNAcentral